ACUCAAAAAGAGAGGAUUGGCUGCCAUGCAGGUGGAAGAAAGCUAGCACCUUGGACAGAGCAGUGCUGGGCAAGAUCAGGGGAAUGAGAGAGAGCUCCUGGCUGACUGUUAACACUGGUAUGCUGAGGCCUUGAGAACACGGACUAUUUGAAUGCACAACGUAUGCUUCACAGAACAUUCUACCACAGAGAUUCAGUCUGGUGCUGUGACUAAUGCAUAGAACCACUGGGGAAAAGGAAAUGCCACAUCUACUCCAUAGGUGUUAAAAUUCCUGUUGCGGCCACUUUGGAUGCCUGAAUUUAUGUUUGGCCUGUGAACUCUUGGGAGAUCCUACACAGUCUGGAACUAUACAUGCCAGGAUGAAAGUACAGUAAUCAAAUUUUCCCACCUCCUACAAAAAAUAACUACCCAUGUAGAAGAGUUGCAAAUAUUGCCAACUGCUUGGAGACAGUGAAGGCUUAAAGGGAGAUUGUGAAACAAAUCCCUGGACUUCACCAUAAGCCUGUAAAUAAAGAAAAGGGGGAUUGAAGCUUAAAGGGUCUGGACCAAUGUCCCCUGAAGUCACUGGGAUCUUUCCUGUUUUGAAUUGCCUCCAAAGGUGCUUUGUAAUGUCUGCAAGAGAUAUUUGCUAAAGAACCAAUGGAAUGAAAGCAAAGAUGUGGAGAUCUGAUGGUUGAAACAUAUCUGUGCUUAACUUCUUGGAAAGAAUCUCUCAAGAACAAUUUGUCUGUGUGAAAAUUGCAACUAUGUAAUACUGCUAAGGUAGCUUCCAAAAAUGAUGGACGCACGGGCUGCAGCUGACUGACUGCAGCAUAAAGAAUAUUGGAAAAUGUAUGCCAAGCCUGUGCAGAAAGUUAAAUAAGGUUUCUUCACCUCUACUGAAACAUCACCAAAGUCAGAAACAUUGCCCUGUGGGAUGAAUUACUUUGUUAAUCCAUGUUUGCAUCUGGUACGAGUCAAGCUUUUCUCCCUAUGAGGAACAUUCAUAUCAUUUGGUAAAUAGUUGUUUGGCUCUAGACCAAGCAGGACCUGCAAAUCCGCCCCCAUUUCUUUAGACUUAAUCUCUGCUGCAAAAGCCAGACCUGGAGACUGAGAAUGGAGGAAUUAUGUCCAGACUACUUUGUCCUACCAGCAAUAAUUUGGCUUAACCCUUCUGUCUCACCCCUAACGUGCACAACAAAGUAACUACAAUUUUUCGUGCCAAACCUGUGCCGCCUCAUACAUUAAGUGUUCUCAGACUAGGAUGAGGUCAGUCUUUCUGUAGUGGUUUUAUCAUUCCAUAUGUUGUGGUUUUCAUGUAGCAAAAAAGUCACUAAAAAGAUAAUGGGCUCAGUAGACACUUCAAUGUUAGUCAGUGCAGAAAAAGAAAGUCUUACAUUUCCAAGGUGUUUGGGGGUCUCUUGGACCCCAAACUUAUAUAAAAAUGUAAAUAAAACAUCAUAGGCAAACCAUUGCUGCUUCUUUCUUUAAGUCUUCUCAAACUAUGAAGAGAACAACUUGUUAGCAUUGGUUUUGUCUGCAUACCUGUUGUGGUUUUGAUAUAACGAAAAAAGUCACUCAAAAGGUAUUGGGGUCAGUUAGACCCCAAAUUAAUGACGCAUGCGUUCCAGCAUCAGAUUGUUUUUAUUUUGAGGCAGUAAUUGUGAUAUGAUUAUAUGAAUCUUUCAGCACUGUUUUUAUCAGAGUUUCAGUGGUUUUGUUUUUCAAAAAAAUGCACCAACAGUGUCUUGGAGAUUACAGUUGCCCCGCGUACCAUCACAAUUGGCCAGCAGAUUGACUUUCUCUGAAGCUAACACUGUCAAAUUGAUUUUUUUCUGGGAAGUCUGCAUGUGCUAGGAAGAGUUUCUGGGAAGGCCACAGUUCUUAGCCUCAUUUUCUGGCAAGCCCACACUUGACUGAUUCUGUUGCUGGGAGAAAGACUCACUGGUGCAUUGCACAUGUCCAUUGCGUGUCCGAUGGCCUGCAUUGUUUGGGUUUUUUUGACUCACACCUGGCGUAAUAAAUCUUUGAGUAAGAGAUGGAUGUUUCUCGGGGACCUCGGUAUAGAAAUAGUGAAACCUCUGGUGCAGGAAAGGAACACUACAGCCUUUCCUCAGGCUUCUAGGUAAGCAGUAUCUAGUGUGCUGGGCACUGAUCUAUAGCCUAAAGAAUGGGGAAGAUGUUACUUCUGUUCCAAAGAACAAGACAGAAAAACACAUAAAAAUUGUGCAAAGUGUAAAAACAUUGUAUGUUCAGAAUAUAUGUCACUUACCGCUCCAUUUACUGCCCCUUUGCUGUGUUUGUGUCUUUUUAUAUUGUUUUUGUUGCUAUCUAUUUUCAUUUUCUAAACUUUGGGUCACUUAAACGCUGACACCUGCAUAGUGUGUAGCUUUUUAAAAAAUAUGUUUGAUCAUGGGGUCAGUUAACCCCCCUCCCCCAACUCAAGUACUGUGUAGCAUGCUUCUGAAUCCAGGUAUGUUUUAAACUUGUUCAUAGUUUUAUAAUUCACUGGUUACAAUAACAUCAGUUUUAAAUGCAUCCCAUUUGUCUUUUCCUGAUUUUUAAAUGCUAGGAGUCUCCAAAAGCCCCAUACAGAAAUAGUUGGGUGAUUUUUGAUCCAAUAUGAGGUUAAUUCACACUUACUGCAUUGAGCAACCUUUGCAAAUAAAGUUUAACAAAUUUUUACAAAAAUAUUUUCUUUUCAUCUGCUGCUAGUGAUCUAAGUAAGAUUUUGACUAUCACUAGAGUAUAUUGGCAUUCAAUAGCAGAAAGUCAUGUGGACUGUAAUGGCAUUCUUACACAGACAAGUUUAGAGUUGCAUCAAUAUUAUUCUCACCUGUAUAGAAAAACAUUCCCAAGGUUUUUGGUUUGGCUAACAUUCUGGCUCUAUGCAUUA
This is a long non-coding RNA of Mauremys reevesii (Reeves's turtle), 2875 nucleotides long. RefSeq lists it as uncharacterized. The transcript has 3 exons. NCBI's taxonomy places the organism in Eukaryota, Metazoa, Chordata, Testudines, Geoemydidae. The record is from RefSeq and is a predicted model, not a curated record.